UCCCGAGUAGCUCAGCGGUAGAGCAGCUGACUGUUAAUCAGCGGGUCAUAGGUUCGAAUCCUAUCUCGGGAGCCA
Molecule: transfer RNA, 75 nt
Filed under: Chloroflexota bacterium
Lineage: Bacteria; Bacillati; Chloroflexota
Also listed under: 2 other names
Description: Chloroflexi bacterium tRNA-Asn
Rfam family: tRNA
About the family: Transfer RNA (tRNA) molecules are approximately 80 nucleotides in length. Their secondary structure includes four short double-helical elements and three loops (D, anti-codon, and T loops). Further hydrogen bonds mediate the characteristic L-shaped molecular structure. tRNAs have two regions of fundamental functional importance: the anti-codon, which is responsible for specific mRNA codon recognition, and the 3' end, to which the tRNAs corresponding amino acid is attached (by aminoacyl-tRNA synthetases). tRNAs cope with the degeneracy of the genetic code in two manners: having more than one tRNA (with a specific anti-codon) for a particular amino acid; and 'wobble' base-pairing, i.e. permitting non-standard base-pairing at the 3rd anti-codon position.
Source: RNAcentral